This 447-nucleotide ribosomal RNA is filed under the name uncultured bacterium. RNAcentral describes it as "bacterial SSU rRNA". It matches the Rfam family "Bacterial small subunit ribosomal RNA", at positions 355 to 825 of the family's 1533-position model. The record is from RNAcentral.
UGGGGAAUAUUGGACAAUGGGCGAAAGCCUGAUCCAGCCAUGCCGCGUGAGUGACGAAGGCCUUAGGGUUGUAAAACUCUUUCGUCGGGGACGAUAAUGACGGUACCCGAAGAAGAAGCUCCGGCUAACUUCGUGCCAGCAGCCGCGGUAAUACGAAGGGAGCUAGCGUUGUUCGGAAUCACUGGGCGUAAAGCGCACGUAGGCGGAUAGUUAAGUCAGGGGUGAAAUCCUGGGGCUCAACCCCAGAACUGCCUUUGAUACUGGCUGUCUCGAGGUCGAGAGAGGUUGGUGGAAUUCCUAGUGUAGAGGUGAAAUUCGUAGAUAUUGGGAAGAACACCAGUGGCGAAGGCGGCUAACUGGUCCGGUACUGACGCUGAGGUGCGAAAGCGUGGGGAGCAAACAGGAUUAGAUACCCACGUAGUCCCUGAGCGGGCUGGCAAGGCGCAU